CUACGGGUCGCUGCAGUAGGGAAUUUUCGACAAUGGGGGGAACCCUGAUCGAGCAAUGCCGCGUGAAUGAAGAAGGUCUUCGGACUGUAAAGUUCUUUUAUUGGAGAAGAAUGGUCACAUCAGGAAAUGGGAGUGAUUUGACGGUAUCCAUUGAAUAAGCCCCGGCUAAGUACGUGCCAGCAGCCGCGGUAAUACGUAGGGGGCGAGCGUUAUCCGGAAUUAUUGGGCGUAAAGCGUGCGUAGGCGGUUUGUUAAGUCACUUGUAAAAGAUCUCAGCCCAACUGAGUAGGGCGAGUGAAACUGGCAGACUUGAAUACGGUAGAGGUAAGCGGAAUUCCAUGUGUAGCGGUGGAAUGCGUAGAUAUAUGGAGGAACACCAAUGGCGAAGGCAGCUUACUGGGCCGGAAUUGACGCUGAGGCACGAAAGCGUGGGGAGCAAACAGGAUUAGAUACCCGUGUAGUC
RNAcentral lists this ribosomal RNA (463 nucleotides) under uncultured bacterium. RNAcentral's name for it is "partial 16S ribosomal RNA". It matches the Rfam family "Bacterial small subunit ribosomal RNA", at positions 339 to 795 of the family's 1533-position model. The record is from RNAcentral.